UAUACAGCACUCUCUUAUCUGGAACACGGGUAUCACUAUAAAUGUUUUGACCUCGGACCUUGAGGCAAAGAACAAUUCAAAUAAACCUUUGAUCACGUCUGAUUCAGUUCUCCAAGUCUGCAAGUUCACAGAGACAGAGUUGAACCAAGAGGGGGAGAUAGAGAGAGUUGGGGUGGUGGCCCUCAGCGUUUAUCAAAGAGCUUUUCAGAGCCUUUGACAACACUUCCUCACUUGCAACAGCAGCAUACUGAUCUACAGGAGCCCACGCACAGGCACACAGAGAUCUCUUCAAGGUCUGGAUAAUGUGUGUGAAGCCAAACAGAGCCCUUUCGUACUGCAAAAUCAGUUUAUCUGCUAUAUCGGGGAGUAAGGCUGCAAAUAAAGGCGAUGGUUAUAAUUUAUUAAAACGCAUGGCAUUGACUGUCGCUAUCACAAAUUCACACAAUUAGAAAAGGGUUUUUUUGUCUCUUCAGCUGACAACACUGGAUAUUUGAGAAUCACUGCAUUUAUCAAACACGGCGGGGAGUCUUCAUCUAAAAAGUGCACUGUCAAGUCUGUCUUCGUCGCCCUGUACAUGGGAUAUUAAAGAGGAUGGUUAAGCAGCUUGUGGCCUAAUGGGACACUCCCUCUAACAGUGAUGCAAAUAGCCACCCCAGCUGUCACCUAUCAGGGAGGAUCCUCGCUCUUUGCAGGCGAGGUGAAAGUCGACCACUUGUAAUGCUGUUGCUAGGAGCCAUCAACGGAAAUGUCAGUCGACUCAGCAAGUGAUGAGAUUUGACAUAUGGCAUCAAAGCAUCAUUAGACCCGCACCUGCUGCAGAUGGAGUCUGCUCUUUCGCAAGGGGUUCAGCACCAAGGGGAGGCCUAUUGAGGGAUAGAGAAGGAUAAGAUGACCGGUCCAUGGAAAGGCAAGCCACUUAGUGGGAUUUAACCUUAAAAAGACCAGAAAAUAAUGACUGUAACCAUGAGCCUGAGCCUGUUAACUUUUUUUGUACAAAUUCUUGCACAGUAUUAAUUCUUUCAUUUAUAAAGCAGGGCCACAAAUUUGAGCUUAAAUACAAUAAAUUCACUCUAGAAAUAUAUGCUGGAUAGAGACUUUUGCCCUGAUUUCUGAAGUCAACUUCAACAGUAGUUUCCUGUUGUCGGCAUGGUGGCUCAGCGGUUAGCAUGCUAACCUCACAGCAAGAAGGUCACAGGCUUUCUGUGGGGAGUUUGCAAGUUAUCCCCCUGCAAGCUGAAGUUUUAGUCCCUUUGACCGAGGCACUGGCAUACACCUGGGGUUGGCCUCUAGAAGCCACACUGUGGAUUCCCACAGCUCCUAAUGCUUAGGGUUUGUUAAAACCUAGCAUCAAAGUAUCUCUAGUCUGAGUCAGUAGUGCCAAGGAAGUGCCGGUUACAAUGAAAAAGUAACCCUGUGAGAUUAUAGCAAUUGCACUUUCACAAAAGCAAGAUGAUAGACAUUCUUUUCCUAAUAGAAUCAUCGUAGAGUUUUUUCUGUGCUGCCAUAAAAAAACUACUUUGUGCCAAAUACAAAGUGCAACUAAAACUAAAGACCAGUUGCACAGAUGAGCAAAAAAAUGCAUAAAACCUAAUUAGCAUCUCUGUCAUCCAGUCUACCUUGUUGCUGUACUUAAUGGCAGAUGUAGAACGUUGCUUGCUGCAAAGUCAAAGAGCCAAAUCAUGAACUCUUUUAUUUAUCAGCUUACAUUUAGCAGUUUCAUGCAGCCAGUCUCUAUUGCAAUGUGUUCAGUAUGACGAGGGAUCUGCUUUGGAAUUCACCUUGUUGGACUCGUUGGGUAGAUGAAGCAUAGAAGGGAAUUUAUGCAAAUUUCAGAACUCUGUCAGCUAGAAACAACAUUUCUAUACAACAACAUUGCAAUAAUUUGCUUCCUUAUUAUGUUGCUUUGUUAACUGGAUCAUAUCAAGGCAUAAUUUUUAGUUGUAAUACAAGAAGUACAUUUAUGGCCGGCCUCUCAGUUUGCAGGAGGUGGUUGGAAAGGACUCUCACACCAUUAGCCAGAUUUAACUUCAAUGAUCAUAUCUAUAGGUCUGUGGUUUUGUUCAAAUCUAUUAAAAAAAGAAAUUAGGUAGUCCUGCAACAACUAAAAUCACUGUGAAUCUUUUCUGUGUCAAAUCAGACGGCAUGCGUUCUCAACCCUUAUCAUAUCUUGUGAGAAAAAUGUAAUUAUACAUUAUUCCAGAUGCAGAUUACAGAUGGAUAUAGGUGCUAACAUGCAUAUUUUAAAGGGCAGUAACUGGUAAAUGUAAUAUUAGUGGUCUAAUGUGUUAAUGCAACUUUUUCUUAAACAAAAAAAGGUAAUCAUAUCACAAAUUUGUCCCUUAAAAGACUGCCCCUUCCAGUGUAGAUGUGCAGAAAUAUCCUUUUAGAGUCGCUUUUGCAUACUUGGACGCGUUGCAAUACCAAAUAAUAAAUAAAAGGAUGGUGUAAUUAGUCUUUCUCUGAGAGUAAACUUCCUUCUUAGAAAGUAAACUUCUUAGUAAACUUUCUUCUUAGAAGGUUCAGUGCAGAAGAAACCCCCAAUUGCCUGCUACUGUACUGCAAAAAUCAUCUAUGUCCAUAAUGUGUCAGAAAAAAAACAAUUUAACGUGCUGCAUCCCAGAAAAGUCACUUCUCCACUCCAGA
Long non-coding RNA from Oreochromis niloticus (Nile tilapia), 2643 nucleotides. RefSeq lists it as uncharacterized. The record is from RefSeq and is a predicted model, not a curated record. The transcript is spliced from 5 exons. NCBI's taxonomy places the organism in Eukaryota, Metazoa, Chordata, Actinopteri, Cichliformes, Cichlidae.